Molecule: transfer RNA, 67 nt
Filed under: Marmota monax (woodchuck)
Lineage: Eukaryota; Metazoa; Chordata; Mammalia; Rodentia; Sciuridae
Description: tRNA.Thr
Source: RNAcentral
GGCUUGUGGCUCAGAGGAAGAGCAUUCACCUCGUACACGUGAGGCCUGGGUUCGAUCCUCAGCACCA